UGAAAUUAGGCGAUGAAGAUGGGUUUUAAUUUCUCAAAUCAAGUUUUUUUGUGUGUGUAUGCAGCAAGACAAUGGUGAACAUGAAGGUGGCAAGAAUAAAAUUGGCAAAUGAGGAGAGGCAUUGUUAUGCUUCUUGAAUCCAUUUUCGUAUUCCACUGCUAGUAUUCAGGUACUUUUUCCCAUUUUCGUCUGACUUAGGGUUGGGGGUUUAGUUGAUUUGAUUGAUUAUGUUACCUCAAAAUCAACUCGUAGGAAUGGGGAAUUUGGUAUAUCAGGCAUGGGUGUUAGCUCUUUCUCUUGUUACGGCUUAGUGUUAGUAAUGAAACAUAUGGUUUUGCUUUUCUUCAAACCCCUUCUUGUAUAUUGAUGAAUUUUAGUGAAUUCAAUUGAGAUGACUGUAUCUAUUUUCUUUCUGUAUCAAUUGAUAAUUGUUCGAUCCUGAUAAUUACCCAAAUGAUUUUCACCCCUUCAAUAUGGAUUUCCAAUCUUUUUGAGUUUUGCACAAAUGGAAUCUGAAAAAAAUAAAUUAAUAUGGGAAAUUUCAAUCAACAAGCAGCUUCAUAGAGGCAGAGUUUUUGAAAAUUGAUAUUAAUAUUCCGUUGAAUGUGGGGGCUAGAUUUUGUUGCCGUGGAGAUGUUUGAUCAAAGUCCCAAAAGAAUUUUAGUUUAGUGGAAUAUUAUGAACAGUUAUGAUUUGUUCAAUACAUUUUAAUACUUGAACAAGUAAGCAUUAUAAUUUUGAGUAUGCAUAUCUAGACACCUCAACUAUGAACACUCCAACUUACAACAUGAUCAUCUACACACCUCCAAAAUUUAUGUGUCGGGUGUCCACAAGACACAAUGAGGACGAGUUGGGAGUGUUUAGUUGUCAAUUGAGACCAAGUUGAGGUGUCUAGAUGUGCCACUCUCAAAGUUGGAGUGCUUAUUUGCCAGCUGAGAUGAAGUUUGAGUAUUUGUUUAUGCAUUCUGAUUUCUUUUUUUUUCCUCAAGAACUCAUCUCUCUGAAUAUCUGCAGUUCUGCUGCUCUCUCGUUUGAAAGUUCAAUCAGAUGCUUGGAUAAUUGUUUCAAAUUCACAUUAUUGUGGCAAAUUUUGUGUUCAACUAUUGUAUAUCUAUUAUGAAUUCACAAAUUUAACAAGAGUUUGACCUCUUCGUAGCUUCAAAUAGCCGGUCCCUAACCCGGAUAAGGAAAGUGGUUUGCAGUAGGUUGAUG
Molecule: long non-coding RNA, 1212 nt
Filed under: Solanum tuberosum (potato)
Lineage: Eukaryota; Viridiplantae; Streptophyta; Magnoliopsida; Solanales; Solanaceae
Description: long non-coding RNA (STUB_LNC007571)
Source: RNAcentral